UGCGUAGGCGGCUUUUUAAGUCGGAUGUGAAAUCCCUGAGCUUAACUUAGGAAUUGCAUUCGAUACUGGAGAGCUAGAGUAUGGGAGAGGAUGGUAGAAUUCCAGGUGUAGCGGUGAAAUGCGUAGAGAUCUGGAGGAAUACCGAUGGCGAAGGCAGCCAUCUGGCCUAAUACUGACGCUGAGGUACGAAAGCGUGGGGAUCGAACAGGAUUAGAUACCCCUGUA
Molecule: ribosomal RNA, 225 nt
Filed under: uncultured Acinetobacter sp.
Lineage: Bacteria; Pseudomonadati; Pseudomonadota; Gammaproteobacteria; Moraxellales; Moraxellaceae
Description: partial 16S ribosomal RNA
Rfam family: Bacterial small subunit ribosomal RNA
Source: RNAcentral